This 253-nucleotide ribosomal RNA is filed under the name uncultured bacterium. Its description in RNAcentral is "partial 16S ribosomal RNA". It matches the Rfam family "Bacterial small subunit ribosomal RNA", at positions 524 to 776 of the family's 1533-position model. The record is from RNAcentral.
GACGAACCGUGCGAACGUUGUUCGGAAUCACUGGGCUUAAAGGGCGCGUAGGCGGGCUGGCAAGUCCGGGGUGAAAUCCUCCAGCUUAACUGGAGAACGGCCUCGGAUACUGCCGGCCUGGAGGCGGGUAGGGGCGGGCGGAACUCUGGGUGGAGCGGUGAAAUGCGUUGAUAUCCAGAGGAACUCCGGUGGCGAAGGCGGCCCGCUGGACCCGGUCUGACGCUGAGGCGCGAAAGCCAGGGGAGCGAACGGG